RNAcentral lists this ribosomal RNA (362 nucleotides) under uncultured bacterium. RNAcentral's name for it is "bacterial SSU rRNA". It matches the Rfam family "Bacterial small subunit ribosomal RNA", at positions 527 to 891 of the family's 1533-position model. The record is from RNAcentral.
GGAGGGUGCAAGCGUUAUCCGGAUUCACUGGGUUUAAAGGGUGCGUAGGUGGGCAAGUAAGUCAGUGGWGAAAUCUCCGGGCUUAACCCGGAAACUGCCAUUGAUACUAUUUGUCUUGAAUACUGUGGAGGUCAGCGGAAUAUGUCAUGUAGCGGUGAAAUGCUUAGAUAUGACAUAGAACACCAAUUGCGAAGGCAGCUGGCUACACAAAUAUUGACACUGAGGCACGAAAGCGUGGGGAUCAAACAGGAUUAGAUACCCUGGUAGUCCACGCCCUAAACUAUGGAUACUCGACAUUUGCGAUAAACUGCAAGUGUCUGAGCGAAAGCAUUAAGUAUCCCACCUGGGAAGUACGAUCGCAA